AUACAUCCGCACCUAGCUCCAGAAAUAUCUUAAGACUGCUGGUAGUUUCCUGCUGCCCAGCAGGCUAGUGAAGGACCCUGGGCUUCAAGGUAAUCGUCAAGGAUUUAGAAAGGCUACUGAAAGAUUUUAGUGAUCUGCAGAAUAGGAAUUGAAUCUGCAAAAAGCGAGCAAUGAAAUAAUUUACUUAACUGCAGAGAGGGAGGGAGCGUGUCUGUCUGAGAGAGAUCUCUCCCCCUUUCAGUUAUGCUGGAUGUCACCUCCUUGGUGUAGUAUGCAAACGGAGCACCUCUUUUAGGUGCCUUCCAAUAACUGAAUAUUUUCUUGUUCAAGAAGAAAACUCGAGAUCGGAGGGAUCUGUCCGGUUGCACUGAAGCCAGACUCAUCAGUCAUCAAUCAAGACAGCUGUACAUUUCUCCCAGAUGUAAACGGGUGAAUAAACUAAAGUACUACGAUGCGUCUGCCUUAGCACUUUUCCUAUGCCAUCAUUGUGCUUUUUUCAUCAGGAAAAUCUGCCUAUAGCUAAAUCGUUCUAAAUAGGGCAAGUCAUUCAAAAUUAAUAUUUAUGUUUUAUUGAAAUAAU
Alligator mississippiensis (American alligator) is the source of this 580-nucleotide long non-coding RNA. RefSeq lists it as uncharacterized. NCBI's taxonomy places the organism in Eukaryota, Metazoa, Chordata, Crocodylia, Alligatoridae. The record is from RefSeq and is a predicted model, not a curated record. The transcript has 2 exons.